Podarcis lilfordi (Lilford's wall lizard) is the source of this 73-nucleotide non-coding RNA. NCBI's taxonomy places the organism in Eukaryota, Metazoa, Chordata, Lepidosauria, Squamata, Lacertidae. The record is from the annotation of a GenBank genome assembly.
GGCUGUUGUAGCUCAAUGGCAGAGCCCAUGUGUAGCACACAGGAUGCCCCAGGUUCAAUCCCUGGCAACUCCA